Molecule: long non-coding RNA, 686 nt
Filed under: Marmota monax (woodchuck)
Lineage: Eukaryota; Metazoa; Chordata; Mammalia; Rodentia; Sciuridae
Source: RNAcentral
GUUUUGUUCCACUCCUUUUAAAGACUAUCUUUAUUGAAGGCUCUCACUUACUAAGCAUCCGGUAUUGUCCUCUGCGUGCCACGCAGGAGAUGUCAAGAUGCACAUGAGUGUGAGACAGUGAAAGAGUGCUGGAAGGACUUGCCACUGUAGCAGGUUGCCUAGCAUCCCCACCACGUCCAUCCUAAACGUGACCUCAUUUGGAAAUAGGGCAUCUGUCUAUCUAACUGGUUAGGACGAGGUCACAGUGGAGCCGUGGGUCCUUGAUCCCACGUGACUGUGUCUUGGUGAGAACUGAGAGGGGGUUUCUGCUGUCCAAGCCCCUCAGCGUGGACGGGUCCAGCAACCAGAGGAGGACACAAGGCAACUGUGUGCAUCCUCCAGGAAGCUAGAGACGGGGCCAAGAGACAGCCUUGGGAUGUGACAUCAGGAAGUCACAGGAGACUCUGAAGAGGGAACUGCCAGGAGUCAGUAAGAGGAAGAGCCCAACUCAGGAGCAGGAGCAGUGGUGGUGUGGAGCACUCUCUCCAAAGGCCACCACAAAAAAGAAAAAUGCAAGAAAAUGACAGAUGAAAGUUGGCAAAGGGAAGGCUUUGUCUAAAAUGGGAGCCCAGGCUCCUGUGCCCUGUGCCCUAGAGACAAUAGCAGGCACGACAGAGAACGGGUGGACGGCAUCGCAGGAAGGUCAG